Molecule: small nuclear RNA, 91 nt
Filed under: Felis catus (domestic cat)
Lineage: Eukaryota; Metazoa; Chordata; Mammalia; Carnivora; Felidae
Source: RNAcentral
GCAGAACAUGUGCUAAGAUUUUAUUAAUAGAGGAUUCGCCUGGCACCCUAGGCAAAGAUGAAACACAAAUUCAUGAUGUGUUUCAUGUUUU